Molecule: long non-coding RNA, 1046 nt
Organism: Bos taurus (domestic cattle)
Lineage: Eukaryota; Metazoa; Chordata; Mammalia; Artiodactyla; Bovidae
Source: Ensembl
AGGGGGCUUCCUGCAUGGUGUCCUAGCGGCUGGGGCUGCAGAGGGAGCUCCAGGGACUCAGAGCCCAGAAUGGAACCGUGGGCCCACAGCCUUCUGGAAGCGGAUGCCUCGCCUGUUGGUGUGGACGCCAUGCCGCACAGAACCUUCACAGGCGGUCACACUGAGGUCGUGAGGAGCCUGAAGUGGGAUCCGGACCUGUGCCCCUCCAACUUCCUGCCCCUGGUCACCGACCAUCCUGUUCUGGGCCGGCUCCCACCUAGGACAGCCGCCCAGGCCCCCUUGGGGAACCCCUUGCCACCAUGCAGGUCACAUGCUGAGCAGGGAGGCUGGGUGGUAGUGGGCAGCAGGCAAGGACCUCCCAGGCCUGCAAGCCCUCCUCUCUGCCGACCUGGCUCCCCCAUGAGGACCCCCCACAGGUACAGUCUCCUCUCCCCUGUGAGGACCCCCCACAGGUAUGGUCACCCCUCCUCCAGAGAGGACCCCCCACAGAUACAGUCUCCUCUCCCCUGUGAGGACCCCCCACAGGUACAGUCUCCUCUCCUCCAUGAGGACCCCCCGCAGGUGCAGUCACCCCUCCUCCAGAGAGGACCCCCCACAGGUACAGUCACCUCUUCCCCAUGAGAACCCUCCAGAGGUGCAGUCACCCCUCCUCAAUGAGGACCCCCCACAGGUACGGUCACCCUUCUUCCAGAGAGGACCCCCCACAGGUACAGUCUCCUCUCCUCCAUGAGGACCCCCCACAGGUACAGUCUCCUCCAUGGGAGCCGGAAUCCCAUGAAGAAAGAGGACCGGAGGUGCAGGGGCCGUGGGGUCUUCUGCCUGGCUGGCUGAGCUGAGUGAGUGGCCUUGCAUUGGGCCCAGGCUAAUAGAGGGUGCUGACUCUGCCCUUCAGGCUGGAGGGAGGCCUGUGGGGAAAUCUCCCCUGACUGGGAAGGUGCCCCUCCCUCUGCCCGGUACCUGGUUGGGGUGGGGCUGUGGUCUGCAGACCCCCAGACCCAGUCUCUGGGCCAGGUGGCCGCCCUGGCACGGCUGGGUCAGGUGAUGGG